AAGAAGACCUUGAAGUCUGUGGAACAGCUGUCCUUCACCAGCCUCCGAGACUCUUACCUGGAGGUGGCAGCCAUGAAAAGCAAGUCAGAUCUGAACAAGCGUCAGCCUCAGGCUUGUUGAGGGCACAGUUGGGUCAGCACAUGGCCACCUUGAAAGAACGUGAUAAUUCUAUCACAGAAGAGGUAGCUAAGAAGUCUGAAGUUUUCCUAGUCACAAACGUGGACCAGAGGACAGGGUUGGCUGUGAUAAAAUCUGUGCCCACCUCCCUGCCCAGGACACAUGAGGCGAUAUGGGCAGCAGCGUUAUUGAAAAAAGCCCCUACAGAAGAGUGUGACGAUAGUUCGGCCGUUCACAGUAAUGAAUCAUCUUGCAGCUUGCCAUCUAUUCUGAAUGACAGUAGUGGAAUAAAGGAAGCGAAACCCACUCUAUGGCUCAACAGUGUUCUUACAAGGG
Molecule: long non-coding RNA, 453 nt
Organism: Diceros bicornis minor
Lineage: Eukaryota; Metazoa; Chordata; Mammalia; Perissodactyla; Rhinocerotidae
Exons: 4
Source: RefSeq, a predicted model, not a curated record